Molecule: long non-coding RNA, 558 nt
Filed under: Phascolarctos cinereus (koala)
Lineage: Eukaryota; Metazoa; Chordata; Mammalia; Diprotodontia; Phascolarctidae
Description: lncRNA (ENSPCIG00000036343.1)
Source: RNAcentral
CUACUUUCUAUGAUGUAAUCUGAGAAGUUGAGCUCCGAGAGAGGGUCCGAUUGGCCAAAUCGAUAAUUCCCUCCCAGGGACUCCACCCUUCCUCCUCCCUCCUCCCUUACCCAAGGGCUAUAAAAGAGCUGAGCCAGAGACCUGGAUGCUUUCUACACCUGGAUCUGCUGGCGAAGCUUUGAAGAUGAGCGUUGCAGCAGAGAGCUAGCUGACCUUCAGUUAACAGAAGCAAGGGAGACCGCAGUGCCCACCAGACCAUGCACCACAAAAACCAUGGGACAAGGACCAAUGCUAAAGAUCACACCAAGGGAGACGUGAGCAGCACCUGCAUCCAGGAAUGGACAUGAUGACUGAAUUAAGAUCCCAUUUAGAUAAAUCACAAUUUCAAAAUAGAACCUUAUACCUCUCUUUUCAUCAUUGACUGGCUUUGUGACCCUGAGUAAGUAUUGGUUCUUUCCUCUCUCUAAGUAUCAAUUUUCUACUCUAUGAAAUGAGAGCUAGACUCAAUGAUUUCUAAGGGCCCUUCUAACUCUCACAUUCUGCAAUGCUAUUAAUGGU